GCUGGCUUUAGGAUCUGGACAGCCCAAUGGCAGAGCAGUGCUGGGUGUGUCCCGCGGGUCAUGGAGGCGUGGCCUUGGGACCUGUGUCUGGUCCCUGUCCUCUUCCUCUCUGCCUUUUUUCCCUGCUCAGCUUCUUGGCUGUCAUAAACUAAGUAGCUUUGUUCCACCAAGCCCUUCCACCUUGGAGCCAGUAGAUCAUGAACAAAUUCCCUUAAAAUGUGAGACAAAUCAAAGGUCUCCAAGUUAUGAGUGCUAGGAACUGGGUCAAGCAAUGGGAAAGGUAAGGUAACAUAGUCACGCAUCCCUUUGCUCAAUCAACAGUUAUUGAGCAUGUUCUUCAUUCUAGGCAAAAGAGGACAAUGAACAGAAGAAAAACCUUUGCUCUCACAGAGUACCAUUCCUGUAUUAAUCACUUCCCCAUCACUGAGAGAUAUACUUGACACCUGCUUCUUAAAGCGGGUGUUGUGGUUUCUACCUCAACAUCUCAGCAGAGCCUCAUGCACUCAGGUGGAUCUUUGGGGAGGUGACUGGAUCACAGGGGUGCAAUAUUAGUCCAUUGAUGAGGUGAAGCCUGCCUGGUUGGAGGAGGUGGGUCACUGGGGGCGUAGCCUGGGAAGAUUUAUCUCCCUCCAUGCUCCCUUGAUCUUUGUUCUGAUUUCUGCGACCGUGCCAUGGACUGUUUCUCUGCCGUGCCACCCUGCCUUGGAACCAGCUGACUAUGGAAUGAAACUUCUACAAACUUCCACAGAUGGCUGUCUCCAAUGCAGAAAUGGUGGUGGAUGGGCCUGGCAGAGGAAAAGCUGCUCAACUCAUGCCAGCUGGGAAGAAGAGAGGAGUCAGGGACAGCACUACACCUCCAGUGGCUCACUUCUUCCAUCCUCGCCCUACCUUCUAACAGCACCUUCUGCAAUGAACUCAUAAAUAGGUUAAUCCACCAAUAAAAAUAAUGCUCCCAUAAUCGUCAUCUUCC
This 970-nucleotide long non-coding RNA is filed under the name Fukomys damarensis (Damara mole-rat). RNAcentral describes it as "lncRNA (ENSFDAG00000029601.1)". Lineage: Eukaryota; Metazoa; Chordata; Mammalia; Rodentia; Bathyergidae. The record is from RNAcentral.